UACGGGAGGCAGCAGUGGGGAAUAUUGCACAAUGGGCGAAAGCCUGAUGCAGCUAUGCCGCGUGUAUGAAGAAGGCCUUAGGGUUGUAAAGUACUUUCAUCGGGGAGGAAAAAACAAAACUAAUAAUUUUAUUUCUUGACGUUACCCGAAAAAGAAGCACCGGCUAACUCCGUGCCAGCAGCCGCGGUAAUACGGAGGGUGCUAGCGUUAAUCAGAAUUACUGGGCGUAAAGAGCACGUAGGUGGUUUUUUUAAGUCAGAUGUGAAAUCCCUGGGCUUAACCUAGGAACUGCAUUUUGAAACUGAAAUAACUAGAGUAUCGUAGAGGGAGGUAGAAUUCUAGGUGUAGCGGUGAAAUGCGUAGAUAUCUGGAGGAAUACCUGUGGCGAAAGCGGCCUCCUAAACGAAUACUGACACUGAGGUGCGAAAGCGUGGGGAGCAAACAGGGAUUAGAUACC
This 457-nucleotide ribosomal RNA is filed under the name uncultured bacterium. RNAcentral describes it as "bacterial SSU rRNA". It matches the Rfam family "Bacterial small subunit ribosomal RNA", at positions 340 to 786 of the family's 1533-position model. The record is from RNAcentral.